This 253-nucleotide ribosomal RNA is filed under the name uncultured bacterium. RNAcentral describes it as "partial 16S ribosomal RNA". It matches the Rfam family "Bacterial small subunit ribosomal RNA", at positions 524 to 776 of the family's 1533-position model. The record is from RNAcentral.
UACGUAGGGGGCAAGCGUUAUCCGGAUUUACUGGGUGUAAAGGGAGCGUAGACGGCCAUUCAAGCCAGAUGUGAAAGCCCGGGGCUCAACCCCGGGACUGCAUUUGGAACUGUAUGGCUGGAGUGUCGGAGAGGCAGGCGGAAUUCCUAGUGUAGCGGUGAAAUGCGUAGAUAUUAGGAGGAACACCAGUAGCGAAGGCGGCCUGCUGGACGAUGACUGACGUUGAGGCUCGAAAGCGUGGGGAGCAAACAGG